UGGUCGUCUUUUGAAUGGCUACAAUUCCUUCCGAAACCAAGAACUCAUGUUUUUCUGACCAAUCUAGACAGACAUCUUCAUGGCCUCUGAAAUAUAUUAGCCAGACCCCUCCCACUCCACUGCUCCAGCUCUGCAUGCAGUCUACCUAACUUGCAGCAUCCAUUAGGGCGUUCAUAAAGAUAGUAUUAGAGGAGAAGAGAUCAUGGAGCUCUUAUCUAUGCCAACUGCUCGGUUGCCCAUUGGUAGGCGGCAUGUUGGUGGUCGCGCUUGUUCGAUUAUUUGUACAGGGAUAGCAGAGCCAUCAGGAGUUCCAGCACCAAUGGGACAAAAGACGGAAUACAGGGAUGGACUGUUUGAGAAGGCCUUCAUGUCAUUGUUUGCUCGUAAGAUGGAGAAGUUUGCAGAGGGUGGCGGCGAGGGGAAGAGCAAGAGGAGCAUGUGGGGGUGGGACUAUGAGAGCUUUGUGGAUGUUUCGAAGAGGGUGAUGAUAAGGAGGUCAAGGAAGCAGCAGCAGGAGGUCGUUAGGGAGGUGCUCCUCUCCAUGCUGCCCCCUGGUGCUCCAGCUCAGUUUCGAAAAUUGUUUCCACCAACCAAAUGGGCAGCUGAGUUUAAUGCAGCGUUAACAGUGCCUUUCUUCCACUGGUUAGUUGGGCCAUCUGAGGUUAUAGAAGUGGAAGUUAAUGGGGUGAAACAGAGAAGUGGUGUGCAUAUAAAGAAGUGCAGGUACUUGGAGAACAGUGGAUGUGUUGGAAUGUGUGUUAAUAUGUGCAAGAUUCCAACCCAAGAUUUCUUUACCAAUGAAUUUGGACUUCCCUUAACCAUGAACCCAAAUUUUGAGGAUAUGAGCUGCGACAUGGUGUAUGGUCAAGUACCUCCUCCUUUUGAAGAGGAUCCUGUUUCAAAGCAGCCUUGCUAUGCUGACAUGUGUUCUAUGGCCAAUCUCAGCUCCAAAGUUUGUCCGAAACUUCAAAAUUGAAAAACAUCAGCUGGUAAUUGGUCCUGCAUCAUUCAGUUUCUCGGAAAAGCUCCCAUCUGGUGGGAAUUGUUAGCUCCUGAGUCUAUUGCAGCAUAAAUGAGUACAGAAGUUUUGGGAGGUGAACAGAAUCAAUGGAACACUCAGUAGAUGAUACUAAUGUCAGGUCUAUGAACAAGUUAAUUCUCAACCUGAGAGGUUGUCCCAAAAGGAAUUUUAUGGAUAUAGCCUGUUAAUCAGCAUUGUUACUGCAUAUUUCUUUAUGCUGGUAAUCUAAUUGCAUGACUUUACCAUCAGUAUAUCCAGUCUCAAGAACAAAACACAUCGGUUUGUGAUUUUAAUUUUAGGUGCUGUUGUACAAAUAAAACAUGACUAACUUAGAAAUGAUUGAAAGAAAAACAGAGAGGCUUUCGUUUGUUC
Phoenix dactylifera (date palm) is the source of this 1393-nucleotide RNA transcript. It is a transcript of the gene named beta-carotene isomerase D27, with no coding region annotated. The record is from RefSeq and is a predicted model, not a curated record. NCBI's taxonomy places the organism in Eukaryota, Viridiplantae, Streptophyta, Magnoliopsida, Arecales, Arecaceae.